RNAcentral lists this ribosomal RNA (542 nucleotides) under Vanellus chilensis. RNAcentral describes it as "partial 12S ribosomal RNA". It matches the Rfam family "Bacterial small subunit ribosomal RNA", at positions 656 to 1405 of the family's 1533-position model. The record is from RNAcentral. Lineage: Eukaryota; Metazoa; Chordata; Aves; Charadriiformes; Charadriidae.
UAAGAUCAAAAUGCAACCGAGCCGUCAUAAGCCCAUGAUGCACCUAAGAUCUCCCUUAAAACGAUCUCAGCACCCUUGAUUUACUGCAUCCACGAAAGCUAAGAUCCAAACUGGGAUUAGAUACCCCACUAUGCUUAGCCCUAAAUCUCGAUGCUUACCCCACCAAAGCAUCCGCCCGAGAACUACGAGCACAAACGCUUAAAACUCUAAGGACUUGGCGGUGCCCCAAACCCACCUAGAGGAGCCUGUUCUAUAAUCGAUAACCCACGAUACACCCGGCCACUCCUUGCCCAGGCAGCCUACAUACCGCCGUCGCCAGCCCACCUCCUUUGAAAGUAAAACAGUGAGCACAACAGUAAUUCACUAAUAAGACAGGUCGAGGUAUAGCCCAUGGAGUGGAAGAAAUGGGCUACAUUUUCUAGCAUAGAAAAACGGAAGGGGGUGUGAAACCACCCCCAGAAGGCGGAUUUAGCAGUAAAGCGGAACAAUAAAGUCCACUUUAAGUCGGCCCUGAGGCACGUACAUACCGCCCGUCACCCUCC